UUUUGGGGGGUUUUGUGUGUUGUUUUUAACCCCAAAAGUUUUGUAAUGAGUCUGGUUUUCUGCAGGGUCCAGACGUGUUCAUUUUGACGAGGCUGGUGUAAUUUGGUCAGUCUGUUUGUUUGUUUGUUUGUUUACAGCAUGGUUGUGGAGUUGCUGAGCCUCAGUGUGGCCCCGCUGGUCGUUGUCGCGCUUUUGGUGGCGGUGCUGUGGAUCUGUAGCGGCGUCCGGAGGAGCGCUCAGGAAAAUAGAAAACAGAAGGGCUCUUGUUCAGCUGGUUUGGUUGAAGAAUUGAUGUACGAUUUUAUGUUGUCACCGGAG
Molecule: long non-coding RNA, 318 nt
Organism: Polyodon spathula (Mississippi paddlefish)
Lineage: Eukaryota; Metazoa; Chordata; Actinopteri; Acipenseriformes; Polyodontidae
Exons: 3
Source: RefSeq, a predicted model, not a curated record